Molecule: ribosomal RNA, 164 nt
Filed under: Hyparrhenia hirta
Lineage: Eukaryota; Viridiplantae; Streptophyta; Magnoliopsida; Poales; Poaceae
Description: 5.8S ribosomal RNA
Rfam family: 5.8S ribosomal RNA (bases 32-164)
About the family: 5.8S ribosomal RNA (5.8S rRNA) is a component of the large subunit of the eukaryotic ribosome. It is transcribed by RNA polymerase I as part of the 45S precursor that also contains 18S and 28S rRNA.
Source: RNAcentral
CCCCCGUGCUGCAAUGCUAUUUAAUCCACACGACUCUCGGCAACGGAUAUCUCGGCUCUCGCAUCGAUGAAGAACGUAGCGAAAUGCGAUACCUGGUGUGAAUUGCAGAAUCCCGCGAACCAUCGAGUCUUUGAACGCAAGUUGCGCCCGAGGCCUUUCGGCUG